RNAcentral lists this ribosomal RNA (465 nucleotides) under Vreelandella stevensii. RNAcentral describes it as "partial 16S ribosomal RNA". It matches the Rfam family "Bacterial small subunit ribosomal RNA", at positions 338 to 795 of the family's 1533-position model. The record is from RNAcentral. Lineage: Bacteria; Pseudomonadati; Pseudomonadota; Gammaproteobacteria; Oceanospirillales; Halomonadaceae.
CCUACGGGUGGCUGCAGUGGGGAAUAUUGGACAAUGGGCGAAAGCCUGAUCCAGCCAUGCCGCGUGUGUGAAGAAGGCCUUCGGGUUGUAAAGCACUUUCAGUGGGGAAGAAAGCCUUGGGGCUAAUACCCUCGAGGAAGGACAUCACCCACAGAAGAAGCACCGGCUAACUCCGUGCCAGCAGCCGCGGUAAUACGGAGGGUGCGAGCGUUAAUCGGAAUUACUGGGCGUAAAGCGCGCGUAGGCGGUCUGAUAAGCCGGUUGUGAAAGCCCCGGGCUCAACCUGGGAACGGCAUCCGGAACUGUCAGGCUAGAGUGCAGGAGAGGAAGGUAGAAUUCCCGGUGUAGCGGUGAAAUGCGUAGAGAUCGGGAGGAAUACCAGUGGCGAAGGCGGCCUUCUGGAAUGACACUGACGCUGAGGUGCGAAAGCGUGGGUAGCAAACAGGAUUAGAUACCCGAGUAGUC